AACGAACGCUGGCGGCAGGCCUAACACAUGCAAGUCGAACGCUCCGCAAGGGGCGUGGCGCACGGGUGAGUAACACGUGGGAACAUGCCCUUGGGUACGGAAUAACGGCGGGAAACUGCCGAGAAUACCGUAUGAUGUCUUCGGAACAAAGAUUUAUCGCCCAAGGAUUGGCCCGCGUCUGAUCAGCUAGUUGGUGGGGUAAUGGCCUACCAAGGCUACGAUCAGUAGCUGGUCUGAGAGGACGACCAGCCACACUGGGACUGAGACACGGCCCAGACUCCUACGGGAGGCAGCAGUGGGGAAUAUUGGACAAUGGGGGAAACCCUGAUCCAGCCAUGCCGCGUGAGUGCUAAGGCCUUCGGGUUGUAAAACUCUUUCGCGAGGGAAGAUAAUGACGGUACCUCGAGAAGAAGCUCCGGUUAACUUCGUGCCAGCAGCCGCCGUAA
RNAcentral lists this ribosomal RNA (446 nucleotides) under uncultured bacterium. Its description in RNAcentral is "partial 16S ribosomal RNA". It matches the Rfam family "Bacterial small subunit ribosomal RNA", at positions 29 to 523 of the family's 1533-position model. The record is from RNAcentral.